AGCUGGGCUUCUUUUAUUCAGCUGCAGAGAGAUGAAUGCAGAAGUACCUCAGGGCUGUUAUACAAUACUGCAGGAUGUUCCGAAAAAUCCUCAUUGCUUUUCUUUUAGGGAGGACUGAUGUAUCUUUUGGAAAACUGAAAUGUCUAACUUAAAUACAUUUACACUGUCUUUUUAUUUGUCGGAGGGAUAGAAAUGAAAGGAUUUUCUUAUGUACAUCUGGAAUUGCCUCUUAGCUAGAAAUACUUCCAAACACCCACUGGAAAAAUUAUUUUACUGUGUUGCUAUUCCUAGUGGACAUUUCUAUUGUUUUUAUUUGUUGAAGUUCUCGUCACUUCACUUGCAUGGAUGAGAUUUCAUAAUUGUUAUUGAUUUCUAUAAAGAUUUUUUUUGAUAUAAACCAGUGUGAUGUAACCCUUUGAACACCAGCAUUUGCAAGCACAUGCAAGUACAAUGUGUGUAUCUGAACUUCAAGAUGGACAAAGAAGUCAAGCACACACACUGCUUUCUUAAAGGACAGAGCAGCGAAGUGCGUGAUGGAAGCUGUGUUUCUGUAUAUGGGAGCAGAAUAUAUCUAUUGAUCUAAACCACUUAAGAUCAGAUCAAAUUCCACUGACUCAACAGGAACUGGAAGGUAUAAUCCCAGUGUGGUAAGUGUGACUUUGAAGUGUUGGACUGGAAAAUGGGAAGAUACUGGUUACCAUCUAGAAGUAACUUGUUUGGAAACACCUUGGUCCCUUGGAAGAGUAACUAUGGAUUAACACUGAUUUUGUGAAGUUUUCAUUGCUUUCUGGAUAACGAAAGGUCAAAGUAUACCGGCAACGGGACUGAACUUCUUUGUCUCAACUGAUGAUGGACUUGGUGAGAGAAGAAACAUUUUCUUUAUAGAAAAGCACAGUCUUUUAUUUCUAAGAGUAACAUUUGGGUUCUCUGAUGGUUCAAAAAAACUCAAGUGAGAAUCUGGGACUUUGAUUGCUUUGGUGAAUGAAGGCUGCCUAAUUACAGCUAAUUAAGCUAAACAGUUCCACUUGGUGGGAGUUAAAAGUUUAUGUAACUGACAACUCCACUUUUUCUUCUAUUUUUUAAGUGAGGAGGCAUUCUAAAUACCUUCAGACAUACCCACUGUAUUAAUGUCAGGGCAGAUGAAUUAUUUGGGAGAAAGAAUUAAACACAGACAGCUCAAACA
Columba livia (rock pigeon) is the source of this 1183-nucleotide long non-coding RNA. RefSeq lists it as uncharacterized. The record is from RefSeq and is a predicted model, not a curated record. The transcript is spliced from 3 exons. NCBI's taxonomy places the organism in Eukaryota, Metazoa, Chordata, Aves, Columbiformes, Columbidae.